AUGAGCCCUUAAAAAUAAAGCUAGACAAACAAGUUGUUUUCCUAGCAGGAAUUAAAAACAAAGGAUGUAAGUGCAUGCUCCAUUCCUGGAACAGCUCAUCUCCUCCCAGUCAUAGUCACCUGAAAAAAUAUGAAUUUCUGAAAAUACAUGCUUCAGCUCUAUUAAUAUCUGUCAUUGUUUGGAGCAAAGCCAAGUGACAAGAAGGAAGCGUUUAUUAGUAUCAACAUGUAACCCUAUGUAGAAGACCAAUGCACUCUCUAUAAAUCCCAAAACUGAGACAAAAGCUGAAUUGUAACUUCAUUGGCAAAUAAAGCAUAUAUUUAUUUUUCU
Struthio camelus australis is the source of this 330-nucleotide non-coding RNA. NCBI's taxonomy places the organism in Eukaryota, Metazoa, Chordata, Aves, Struthioniformes, Struthionidae. The record is from RefSeq and is a predicted model, not a curated record.